This 468-nucleotide ribosomal RNA is filed under the name uncultured bacterium. RNAcentral describes it as "partial 16S ribosomal RNA". It matches the Rfam family "Bacterial small subunit ribosomal RNA", at positions 28 to 507 of the family's 1533-position model. The record is from RNAcentral.
GAUGAACGCUGGCGGCGUGCCUAACACAUGCAAGUCGAACGGAAAGGCCCUGCUUUUGUGGGGUGCUCGAGUGGCGAACGGGUGAGUAACACGUGAGUAUCCUGCACUUGACUUUGGGAUAACUUCAGGAAAAUGGGGCUCAUACAGGAUAGGAGCUCCUGCUGCAUGGUGGGGGUUGGAAAGUUUCGGUGGUUGGGGAUAGACUGGAUGCUUAUCAGCUUGUUGGUGAGGUUGUGGAUUACAAAGGCUUUGACGGGUAGCCGGCCUUGGAGGGUAGCCGGCGUCAAGGGUACUGAGAGACGGAGCAGACGCCUACGUUAGGCAGCAGGGGGGAGCAUGGCGCAAUAGGCGGGAGCGAGAGGCAACGACGCCGCGUGCGGGAUGACGGCCUACUAGUGGAGAACCGCUUUCGCCGGUGACAUAGCGGUAUUGACGGUAAUUAGUAAGAAAGCACCGGCUAACUACGUG